This 347-nucleotide long non-coding RNA is filed under the name Brassica napus (rape). RNAcentral describes it as "long non-coding RNA (BNAP_LNC016929)". The record is from RNAcentral. Lineage: Eukaryota; Viridiplantae; Streptophyta; Magnoliopsida; Brassicales; Brassicaceae.
AUUUGCGGGUUGUUGUGUUCAUUAUCUGUACUUGCAACUUGACUAAGUAAAUUUCAGUUAUCUUUAGAGUCUCGCGAUAUGUUCGCCUAGAGACAAUAGAUUCUUGACCUUUGGCUUUUACAAAUAGAUAACGACACAACCCGCUAAGGAACUUUGUUCUGCUCUUGUCGUGUUUCGAUUGAGAUAACGUCUAGACGCGUUUUUCUACUUUGAAACCAAGAAACUGAAUCUAAGAGUAGAAGGUUCUUUCCUCCGUUUUCUCAAAGACUAUCGAGUAAAUGGGUAGCUAAUCCGUUAAGCGUUUAGUCGAGAAAAGGUUAAAGAUUCACUCCGUUUGGUCGGUCAGU